RNAcentral lists this signal recognition particle RNA (96 nucleotides) under Cardiobacteriaceae bacterium. Its description in RNAcentral is "signal recognition particle sRNA small type". It matches the Rfam family "Bacterial small signal recognition particle RNA". Rfam says of the family: The signal recognition particle (SRP) is a universally conserved ribonucleoprotein involved in the co-translational targeting of proteins to membranes. Archaeal SRP consists of a 7S RNA and homologues of the eukaryotic SRP19 and SRP54 proteins. The record is from RNAcentral. Lineage: Bacteria; Pseudomonadati; Pseudomonadota; Gammaproteobacteria; Cardiobacteriales; Cardiobacteriaceae.
GCAUUGGCACUUCGCAACAGUCAGUUAGAACCUCGUCAGGUCUGGAAAGAAGCAGCGAUAAUAAUCAUACUGUGUGCCGAAGAGCGCUGGUGUUAG